Taeniopygia guttata (zebra finch) is the source of this 1981-nucleotide long non-coding RNA. NCBI's taxonomy places the organism in Eukaryota, Metazoa, Chordata, Aves, Passeriformes, Estrildidae. The record is from Ensembl.
CCCAAAUAUUUAAUGUCAUGUGAUUAUAUUAAAUUCAGGAUAUUUUGAGCGAAAUUCCUUAAACUGAUUUAAUGAAUGCAGUCUUUCAGAAGUCUUUGCUAGUAUGUAGUAAGAUGAAUUAAAGACAAUGCCACAUUAUUUAUAGAUUGCUGUGAUGUAGAGUGAAAAAUGAAAGAAAACCGAAAGAAGCAAGAGCAUAAAUGUAGGUAUUCAUUCUUGGAAUAACCUGAGCUUUCCAUGAAGUGUUUUACAAGAGUGCAGAAAACAAAACACAUACAUAUAUUUUAUACAUUAAUAUAAAUCUGACUUAUAAAUACAGACCAGAUUAACUUUUGAGAAUACAAAGGCUUUCCUAAAUGUCUGAAAUUAACGCAGUAUUUCAACAGUCCAAGAUUAUUUUUCUCCAUUUUUGUGGGUUUUAUUUUUAACCACAUACCUGAGAUGACUGAACCUCGAUAAUCUGUGGCCAAAUAUUUAAUAAAUAUAAAUCAUGUUGCUGUGUAUAGAUAAUCAGUGUUUAUUCUCUCUUUUUUUCCUCUAGGCCCAGGUGAAGGAAUUACCUCUGCUGAUGAAUAGUCUUUUCCAAAGAAAAUAGAAUACUAUUUCUCUUGGAUCAAAUACAAAUUAGGCCAACUUGUAUACAGUGUUUAUCUGUCGCAAAUGACUUCUGUUUACAAGCUAAGAGGGCCACAAGAACAUCUGGCUCCUAUCAUCUAGAGUGCAAGGGCUAUUCUGGUCCACACUGAAUAGUUUCAGUGCAAGGACAGUAAUGAGGAAGACAGCAGUAACUCUGCUCCAUGAGCUGUCCGGACAGCAGAGAAAGGAUCAUCAGUGAAAUUAUUUCUGAAGAAAACCAGUUAGUAACCUAAUGUCAAAAAUGCUAUUUCACUGUUAGAUCUUGAUUUGUGUGCACACAUAUUGUGUGCAGAGAUAGCAUUUCAAAUGUCUUUAAAGUUUUAAGAUCUUCAUCAGGCCCACUUCUCCACACCAGUCUAACCUUCCAUUCAGCUGUUCUGUUUCCAGUUUGAAGUUGUUCAAGUCAUGAGGCAGAUCUGGAAGUAAAAUAGGUUCCCACUGGACAUUUUCUGGGGAAGUGAGGUAGGAGAUUCAGUUUGGUAUUUCUCAUCUUGAAGACCAAAGGGCCUGGCCAGAUGAGGCAAAGAAUUGAAAAGUAAAGAGAGAAGGAUGACCAUUCAUGCUCCUGGAACCAUUCCAGAGAAAUAGAACCUAAGAUAUAUUUAGUAACCUUGCUGUUGAAAUAAAAUCUUGUGUAACUCCACCUUAGCAGCAAUAUUUAGCAUUUAUGUAAUCAUAUAAAGUAAAAAAUUACCUACUUUUUAAUUAUAAAGAAAUGUAUUCAGUAACCUCUAAAAUAUAAAAAGGAAAACUUUUUAUUUCCCAGAUAGCUAAAAUCUUCAUUACACAGCAUUAUCCUUUACACUAAAAAGUAUUGCCAUUUAAAGAGGAAUUUAUCAGGUAUUAGGCAUUGGUUGUACUGGCCAAAUACCACAUAUCGAGCUAAAUAAUCACAUUCCCAGGUGAAAUUUAGCACCUUUUACUAUUUUUAGGCAGUCAGAAUACAUCACUGUGUACCCAUGCUUUGAGAGUCACCAUCAGGCCACAUUUCAACAAUCAAAGCAUGUUUGAUAAAAGAAGAAAAUCAGUAAUUUUCUAGACUUAGUGGCAAAAUUAUCUUUCAUGGAUAAAUAAAGAUAUUAAUUAUUGCUAUAAGGCUUCAUAUAAACUAUAUAGAAGAAAUCACAGUUGUUUAUAAUACUUAGAGAAUUUAAAAAGAUCACAGAAAUAAUCCUAGAAUAAACUGCCUGAAUAAAGUGUUUAAAAUUUUCUCUCUCUUGCUAAAAAUGAAAAAAAAUCCAGAAAAAGGCUGUGUAUACACAUAAAUGAAUGGUAUGUUUGAACAUGUUUCCUGCUUUCUGUUAUUCAGUUAAAAAUCUGCAUAAAUAUAUUCUUCACAGUAAGU